AAAGACAUUAUUUUUAAAAGCAUGGUUCAAUGAUAAAGAUAAUGUUAAUGGAAAGCUAGAUACAUAUUUUUCUCAUAAAAGUAAUUUCCAAAUGGAAAAAUAUCUUGAUAUUCAAAGUUUUCAAUCAAGACAAAUUUUAUGUAAAUUUCGCAUAAGUGCUCACCAAUUAAGAGUAGAAAAAGAGCGACAUAAGAACAAACCUAUAGAAAGGUCACAGAGGACUUGUAAUUUUUGUUCUCAUAAUGAUAUUGAAGAUGAGUUUCAUUUUUUAAUUAACUGUCCAUUGUAUAAUCAAUGUAGAGAAUCACUGUUUGCACAAGCUCAUGAACACUGUCAAAAUUUCAAUAACUUGGACUGCAAAUCAAAAUUUUUAUGGUUAAUGACCACUGAAGAUCAACAUAUACUGAAAAAGUUAUGCAUUUUUCUUAUCCAGAGUUUUCAAUUGAGAUCCACAAAUUCUGUUAAUGGCUAAAUCUCUUUUAGUUUAUCUAUAUAUAUAUUAUAUUUUAAAUUCAAAAAUUUAAUUUAAGUGCACAUUUCUCUAUGUGUAUGCAUAUUUCUUCUAUUAUUAUGUAAAUGCUUAUAAACAAACUGCAGUAAAACUCUAAGGUGCUUUAUCAUAUUCCUGCAAUUGUCAAAAAAUAUAAUUAUAUACAUAAAUAUCUAGUAAUUGGUUGCUGUGUGUACAUGGGAGAAAAAUACCCUUAUAUCUAAUCACUUGAGGCUGCAUAUCAUUUGUAUGCAACUCAAAACACCAUAUCUGUUUAAAGGGGAAUAAUCCUUACAGAAAUUGAUUGAUUGUCUCCCAUAUUACUUUCUAUUCCAUGUGCAUGCAAUAACUGUUCAGAGUUCUAUUGUCAUGUAUUUCAUUUUAUUAUUUCAUUGUUAUAACAAAUCAUUGUAAUCAUUGUAUGAAAUUUAAAACCCGCAAGGGUCCAUAAUUGGAUUAAUAAAGUA
RNAcentral lists this long non-coding RNA (957 nucleotides) under Mytilus galloprovincialis (Mediterranean mussel). Lineage: Eukaryota; Metazoa; Mollusca; Bivalvia; Mytilida; Mytilidae. The record is from RNAcentral.